Molecule: non-coding RNA, 540 nt
Organism: Kogia breviceps (pygmy sperm whale)
Lineage: Eukaryota; Metazoa; Chordata; Mammalia; Artiodactyla; Physeteridae
Source: RefSeq, a predicted model, not a curated record
GGAAAGGAAUGGAAGACGUUCAGUGCACCUGCACGUGACCCCAAAAUUUAGUCGGGAAGCUGGGUGUUUCACCUCCAGUGAAAGCAAGUGGGAGUGAUAGGAAAGGCUUGGAAAAAGAUCGAGCAGGGGAAGAGAGAGAUGUCGGCAUCUUCUCUCCCUCCUGCAUAAGACCCUUCCAGUAUGUAAUCGCUGACCUGGAGAAAUAAUGCUCGAGUACAGAGUACGGGGCAGAGUUCCAGGUGUCACUGUGCACCCAACCCCCACGAGCUUUGUGAUUCAUCGCAAACGGCCGAUCCGGGAGGAUGAGUAAACUCCGCAAGUACAGUCGUGUCACAGGACAUAAGUGACCAUGGUGCUCAAUAGUUUGGAUAAGAUGAUUCAACUCCAGAAAAACACGGCUAACAUCAGGAAUAUCUGUGUCUUGGCUCAUGUUGACCAUGGAAAAACUACUCUGGCUGACUGUCUUAUAUCUAGCAAUGGCAUCAUCUCCAGUCGCCUGGCAGGCAAGUUAAGGUACAUGGACAGCAGAGAGGAUGAACA